Molecule: ribosomal RNA, 398 nt
Filed under: uncultured bacterium
Lineage: Bacteria
Description: bacterial SSU rRNA
Rfam family: Bacterial small subunit ribosomal RNA
Source: RNAcentral
GACGAACGCUGGCGGCGUGCUUAACACAUGCAAGUCGAGCGGUAAGGCCCUUUCGGGGGUACGACGAGCGGCGAACGGGUAGAGUAACACGUGGGUGACCUGCCCUCAGCUCUGGGAUAAGCCUGGGAAACCGGGUCUAAUACCGGAUAUGACUCCAUGACGCAUGUUGUGGGGUGGAAAGCCUUGUGCGGCUGAGGAUGGGCCCGCGGCCUAUCAGCUUGUUGGUGGGGUGAUGGCCUACCAAGGCGACGACGGGUAGCCGGCCUGAGAGGGCGACCGGCCACACUGGGACUGAGACACGGCCCAGACUCCUACGGGAGGCAGCAGUGGGGAAUCUUGCGCAAUGGGCGAAAGCCUGACGCAGCGACGCCGCGUGAGGGAUGACGGCCUGGUGUAAC